GACGAACGCUGGCGGCGUGCUUAACACAUGCAAGUCGAACGGAAAGGCCCUGCUUUUGUGGGGUGCUCGAGUGGCGAACGGGUGAGUAACACGUGAGUAACCUGCCCUUGACUUUGGGAUAACUUCAUGAAACUGGGGCUAAUACCGGAUAGGAGCUCCUGCUGCAUGGUGGGGGUUGGAAAGUUUCGGCGGUUGGGGAUGGACUCGCGGCUUAUCGGCUUGUUGGUGGGGUAGUGGCUUACCAAGGCUUUGACGGGUAGCCGGGCUGAGAGGGUGACCGGCCACAUUGGGACUGAGAUACGGCCCAGACUCCUACGGGAGGCAGCAGUGGGGAAUAUUGCACAAUGGGCUGAAGCAUGAUGCAGCAACGCCGCGUGCGGUAUGACGGCAUUCGGGUUGUAAACCGCUUUCGCCUGUGACGAAGCGUGAGUGACGGUAAUGGGUAAAGAAGCACCGGCUAACUACGUG
Molecule: ribosomal RNA, 468 nt
Filed under: uncultured bacterium
Lineage: Bacteria
Description: partial 16S ribosomal RNA
Rfam family: Bacterial small subunit ribosomal RNA
Source: RNAcentral